GACGAACGCUGGCGGCGUGCUUAACACAUGCAAGCCGAACGAGGGCCAGGGAGGAGUAAUCCGAACUGGACCUAGUGGCGGACGGGUGAGUAACGCGUGAACAAUCUGUCCCUGUGAGGGGAAUAACAGUUAGAAAUAGCUGCUAAUACCGCAUAGGACCACAGCAUCGCAUGGUGCAGGGGUGAAAGGGCUUCGGCCCACACAGGGGUGAGUUCGCGUCCCAUUAGCUAGUUGGUGAGGUAACGGCCCACCAAGGCGACGAUGGGUAGCCGAUCUGAGAGGAUGACCGGCCACACUGGAACUGAGAAACGGUCCAGACUCCUACGGGAGGCAGCAGUGGGGAAUAUUGGGCAAUGGGCGAAAGCCUGACCCAGCAACGCCGCGUGAGGGAAGAAGGCUUUCGGGUCGUAAACCUCUGUCGCAGGGGAUGAGAAGAAGACAGUACCCUGUGAGGAAGCCCCGGCUAACUACGUGCCAGCAGCCGCCGUAA
RNAcentral lists this ribosomal RNA (490 nucleotides) under uncultured bacterium. RNAcentral's name for it is "partial 16S ribosomal RNA". It matches the Rfam family "Bacterial small subunit ribosomal RNA", at positions 28 to 523 of the family's 1533-position model. The record is from RNAcentral.